AUUGAACGCUGGCGGCAGGCCUAACACAUGCAAGUCGAACGAGUGGCGGACGGGUGAGUAAUGUCUGGGAAACUGCCUGAUGGCGGGGGAUAACUACUGGAAACGGUAGCUAAUACCGCAUACCAUCGGAUGUGCCCAGAUGGGAUUAGCUAGUAGGUGGGGGAACGGCUCACCUAGGAGCAGAUCCCUAGCUGGUCUGAGAGGAUGACCAGCCACACUGUAACUGAGACACGGUCCAGACGCCUACGGGAGGCAUCAGUGGGGAAUAUUGCACAAUGGGCGAAAGCCUGAUGCAUCCAUGCCGCGUGUAUGAAGAAGGCCUUCGGGUUGGAAAGUACGUUCAGCGGGGAGGCGUGACCCGCAGAAGAAGCACCGGCUAACUCCGUGCCAGCCGCCGCGGUAAUAC
Molecule: ribosomal RNA, 406 nt
Filed under: uncultured bacterium
Lineage: Bacteria
Description: partial 16S ribosomal RNA
Rfam family: Bacterial small subunit ribosomal RNA
Source: RNAcentral